CAGGACGUCAUGAUGCCUGUCUGUUUUCUCAAUGAUAACUUGGCAGAAGAAGAGAGAGGCUGCCAGGUUCUCCUCGGGUGGUUACGUGAGUCACCGUCCAGGAAUCAUGGGCAAAUUCCACAGGGAAGAUAUUGUAAUUAUGCAAAGACAAGAUGAUCUGAAUCGGAGAAAGCAGACUAAGAGGGUCUGAGGACUAUUGACUGAUGGCCAGAUCCCAAAACUUGACUGGUGUCUCUCCACCUUGACGAUUGGAUGCAGCUUCUCUGGCUCUCUUUGCUUAUCUGUCCCCUUGGCAUGCCAGAAGGAUGAAUCAGUGCCAUCUUGUUGGGUGCUAGGAUGUUACCAGAGUCAAAGAUGUUUCUAAAGAGAGCCAAGGCCUAUUGAGAACCCGAGGAGGGAUCACUAUAGAUGUUAUUGGUAACUUUCCAGUAACUAUCCAAGAGGAACUUGUUAAUAUUCAAUCUACCAACCUGGUUCUCCCGCUUUUUUACUUAUUAACCUUGGAAUUGGACCCUUGAAGACUCACCACAAAGCAAAAGAACCAUAACAAUUUGACUAACUUUAAUCCUCUGAAAUCCAAUUUUGUUUUGUUCUUUUCAGACAAAUGCCUUCCAUGCUGUUUGUCACCAGUCCACAUGCCAGUUCAGGCAGCCAAGUGCUUUCUUUCCCCAGGGGUGAGACGUGUGAGCAACUAGCAAAGAGUAGAGGCAGCAUACCCAACAACUCUGAGGUUUGAAUAGAUCCUUUCUAAGCCCAAUUCUCUAAAUCCAGCUCUGCUUAGAAACAGCUCUCUGUUGCUUAUUCAUGUUUAAGCUCCACAGACUACUUUCAAGUCUUUAUUUUCUGGCUUCACCCAAAAUAUAAUAGUUAAUAUUGUUGAAACAUGUUCACUUGCACUUCCCUGGCCAAACCAAAGGGCAUAAAAAUGCUUACUAAGGUAGAUGGAAUGCAGAGAAGGCAAUGCCCUAAACUUUACUCGUGCUUAGCACCUGUAAAUCUAAUUAAACCUCCUCAACAAUAGGGAAAGGGAAGUAUCAUUAUCCCCAUUUCUGUAUUAAGGAAACUGAGGCACAGAGAAGUUGAGUGAUUUGCUCAGUUACACAGCUGGGGUUCAAAUUCAAGUGCUCUGAGUUCUCACCAUCAAGAUCUCUGCUUACCUACCUAUCUAUUCGACCUUAUUUCCAACUGCUGGCAUCCCAGAGCCAUGGCCAGUCAGGCUGGUCACCCACCACCCAUCUCCUAUACUCUGUUGGCUCACACUGCAAUCCCAGUGUCCAAGUCUUCAGCUCCCUCUUCACCUCCCAAGUCCCUUCUGAACAAAGAUGCAUUCUUCUUUCUCUUUGGGUUUGCCUAACACAGUGCUAAGUACAACACUGGCUCUCAUUAAGUAUCUUCUAAUGCAUUAAUUGACAUAAAAUUGCCUUAUGGAGACCUAGAAUGCCACUUUUCAAUUUGACAGAAAUUCAAAGAUUUAUGUAGCAAAGUUUUUCUUUCAGCUGAAGAAACUGCAAGCUUAUUUAUCCAUUCUUUAGACAGUCCCUAGAAAACAAUUUAGGGAAGUUUAUGGUGAGGUAGAACUUCAUAUAUGGGGAGCGGGAAGGAUGAGCAGGUAUAAAAUUAUAGUACUUGAAAAGCUACUGUAAACUUAAUUAUUAGGACUUUAUAGCUCUUAUGAGUCUCCACUACAUUUUGAUUUUCUGUCAAGAAAUUAAAAUUUCCAAUUAAAAAGAUAGGAAAACAAUCAAGGACCUGUAGGCAGGAGAUGUGUGAUCUCAUCUUGGAGCUGCUGCUACUGCUCCCUGAGUGACCUCUGGCAUAUUAUUUAACCAUUUUGGGCCUCAGUUCCCCAAAUGCAUGAGGAAGAGUUGAACCAAUCUCUGAGGUUCCUCCAGCUCCAAGCUUGCAAGUAUGACACAGGAUGUGAGAGAGAGCAAGAAUACUCAGCCUGGAGUGAGACUGGUUUUUUUGAAGGAUGCGAAAAAGAUGCUGGAGAGCUCAGGUACAGUUAGCCAAGUUUAUAUUUCUAAUCCCUGUAUACAGUUAAAGGUAGCUCAGGAAAAAAAAAUCCAUACAAAAAUGUGUUCAAACCUACGUUUUCUGGUGGCUCAUGCCUGUAAUUCCAGCACUUUGGGAGGCCAGGACAGGAGGAUCGCCUCAACCCAGGAUUUUGAGACCAGCCUAGGCAAUGUAUUGAGACCCCUGUCUCUACAAGGAAUAGAAAAAAUUAUCAGGGUAUGAUGGCUUGUGCCUAUUGUCCCAGCUACUCAGAAGGCUGAGGCAAGAAGAUUGCUUGAGCCCCAAAGUCAAGGCUGCAGUAAGCAGUGAUCGUGGCACUGCACCACAGCCUAGGUGACAGAGUGAGACCCCUGUCUUAAAUAAAUUAAAAAAAAACACACACCCACAAAAACCCUACACUUUCCAAAACUGUCCUUUUUUAUAUGAGAUAAAAUUAUUACACAUUUUAAUUAAUAAUAAAAUACUAUUAUUUGAGACAAAGUCUGGCUCUGUAGUCCAGGCUGGAGUACAGUGGCCUGAUCAUAGCUCACUGUAACCUCAAACUCCUGAGCUCAAGCCAUCCUCCACCUCAGACUCUAGAGUAGCUAGGACCACAGGUACAUCCCACCAUGCCCAGCUAUUUUUUAAGAUUUUUUUGUAGAGAUGAGGCCUCACUAUGUUGUCCAGGAUAGUCUCAAACUCCUAGACUUAAGCAGUCCUCCUGCUUUCACUUCCAGAGUUGCUGUAAUUACAGGCAUGAGCCGCUGCACCCAGCCCUCAAGAUGAAAUGAUCAACAACCAUGUGUGCCAGUAGCUUACCAUAUCAACCAAAAUGUUAUUAGUCAUUAUUCAUGUGUGCCUAAAACUUUCUAACACUCUGAAAUUGUUAUAUAGACCUAAUUUGAUAUGAAUGGAUCCAACCUAUUUUGCCUCGAUGUCUUCAACUCAUUCACAGCUUGAAUUAAAUCAUGAAGAAUGGAAGUCUACAGAGACUUGGGGGCUAGCAUCAGAAUGGGACUUUUUGCAUAUUUCCUAUCUAUAACUAACUGAGUAAACCUGUGUUCUUUUCCUUA
This is a long non-coding RNA of Callithrix jacchus (white-tufted-ear marmoset), 3068 nucleotides long. RefSeq lists it as uncharacterized. NCBI's taxonomy places the organism in Eukaryota, Metazoa, Chordata, Mammalia, Primates, Cebidae. The record is from RefSeq and is a predicted model, not a curated record.